This 200-nucleotide long non-coding RNA is filed under the name Capsicum annuum. RNAcentral describes it as "long non-coding RNA (CANN_LNC017609)". The record is from RNAcentral. Lineage: Eukaryota; Viridiplantae; Streptophyta; Magnoliopsida; Solanales; Solanaceae.
CUUGCUCUGUCAUUAACGUGCUCAGGUCAAGUUUGUUCCAUCUCGUUCAACCCACACGUGAAAUUGAAACCACAUAUAGCAACCAGUUACAGCUCAUUGAUGUGCAAAAUAAUCUUAUUGAAUCAUUUCCUCAAAGACCAGGGUAUCCCUUUCAGAUAAUGUAUGCUCUAUUCCAUGAUUCUUCAAGCCAUAAACCUCCA